This 289-nucleotide unclassified non-coding RNA is filed under the name uncultured Herpotrichiellaceae. Its description in RNAcentral is "sequence contains ITS2". The stretch from base 1 to 52 matches the Rfam family "5.8S ribosomal RNA", at positions 103 to 154 of the family's 154-position model. Lineage: Eukaryota; Fungi; Ascomycota; Eurotiomycetes; Chaetothyriales; Herpotrichiellaceae. The record is from RNAcentral.
AACGCACAUUGCGCCCUUUGGUAUUCCGAAGGGCAUGCCUGUUCGAGCGUCAUUAUCACCCCUCAAGCCUCCGGCUUGGUGUUGGAUGGUUUGGUGACAGCGCCCCUUUGGGCAACGGUCACCCCUCCCAAAGACAAUGACGGCGGCCUCGUUGGACCCCCGGUACACUGAGUUCCUCACCGAACACGUACUGGAUCAAGGGCCCGCGGAGCACGGUCUGCCUCCCCUCAGGGAGAACUUUUUUCUCAAGGUUGACCUCGGAUCAGGUAGGAAUACCCGCUGAACUUAA